GUAUUCAUGACCUUGUUAAGUCCCGCCCACCAGCUGGAGGAGGUCGUAUUUAAUGCACGGUUCAGCGUAUCUCGGUCUCACUUUUCUCUCAUUUCCUCGGGCAGGAGGUGGCUGCCAUGGACUACACGAAGAAUGACAUCUAUUGCGGAACUUGAUAUAAGUACAGGAAAUGAAGCGGACACAGUUAUCCAGUGUCUGCCAUAAAACAAGAAUUGGUGGUGACCUUGUUCCCCUUCGAUAUGGGCACCCCCUGGACAAAUUGGAAGACUGCCCCGCCUUUAUGGAAAUUGUCACGUAUAUCUAAAAUCACAUCGUGCUAGAAAUGACAGCUCUACUCCCUUCAGUUCUUCGGCACAAAUGCUAUCGAAAUCGUAUUGGCAAAUAGGUGACAAGGAUUACGGACUCUCGUCCAAGAUGUCUUCGCGUGCCCAGCUGGAGCGGAGUGGCUGGUUGGCACUGUCCAUCAAGCACACGGUUGGAACUACAUACGACGUUGUUGUUACCUAGCUCCUGGCGCUAGGUUUAGUGUAAAAUCAGAGCUGCAUUAUUGAUACGGAAGAUUUUCAUAGAUGAAGUCUCAUUUGAAAGUUAAUCAUUGAGAAGCUGAAAAUUUUAAACUCGAGAGAAAAAUAAAAGUUUUUCUGUAUCAUCUAUCUAUGAUGAAAUUGCUUACGAAAUUCUCAUUUCUUUAAUAGGAUAAAAGACAACUUCACAAACAUUGCCUUCUAUUAAAUUCUGUAAUGAUAGUUUAGAUACUUUACAGCCUGCCCAAGAUAAAUUUUUUUUCCUGUAACUUAAAAACUUAAUUUCAUUUUUAAUAUUUUUCCGGCUUCAUUCAUAAAAGAUUUCAUCAUAGCAUGAAAUAUAUCGUGACCUCCUGCCCAGUUAUUUUCUUGAAGGCUUUUCCUUGAAAAAAUUAAGCUUUAAAGUAUUAUUUAUGGAUUAUUUUUCAGUGCAGUUAACCAAAGAAGUGAUUAUGUCAAUUAAGGUUUUUUUUUAUUGUUUUAUCUUAACAGGAAACUCUAUCAAGUUCUAGUUAUUCCCUUAUGUUUUCAUUUGUUUAUUUUUUUUACAAACAAACGUGGCCUCUAAUUGGCGAACACUUAUUCUUGGCUUGAUUACUUUUUUUUCUUCAGCUAUAAAACUCUUCGGACAAGUCAAUAACUUUCACUUUUAAGAAUAAUAUUCAAUUGCUUAUAAGCAUAAAUAUUUACUCUCAUUAGAAUCGAAGGAAUUUCGACAAUGGUCUCAUUCAAACUGUUUUCUGUAGCCACUGGUGUUUUUUAUUUUUAUUUCAUUUUUACAUCUCAAGUUUUCCUUUACCCUAAUUCCGUUUUUUACUACAUAUUUGUUCCUUCAGAGAUAAAUGCUUAGUCGCGUUUUUCUUAAUUUCUACAGCGUUCAAAUAUUUUCUCUAUUAUAUUUCUUCCAUUUUUUCCUUCGUCAAUAUAUAUUCAGUUUUAUUUUUCCUUAUUGAUUUCUUGUAAAACUGAAAUCAUCUUGUACUUCAUUCUUAAUCAAACAAAAAAAUUAUAGGGUGUAAAAUUACCAGCAUUACCUUAUGUAAAUAUCUUCAAGCUGCAUGCCUAAGUCAGUUUUUUUUUUACUCUCUCUCUCUUUAUCGACAUUUUUGUCACUUUACUCUGAGAAAAAUGUUAUAUAUAACUCGAGCAAGACUGAUUACUUGAGACUCUGAAUAUUAUUUGACAUAAUAUUUUUUUUAUAAUGUUUUAUUCACAAGUUUAAUAUCUAAUUAUUAAUCAUUGAAAAUUAAUUAACUUAUUUCAAGGAAAAGCCUUAACUAUGCAUCUCCUCUCACUAUUUUAUAGACAUUCUACUCCUUUACCUAUUCCUUUCUUUCAUUAUCAUUCUUUCACCAUCGCUUUCAAGAUGAAUUUCCUUGAGCAGUUCAUCAGCCUAUUCUUAGACAUUUUCUCUUCACCUUUCGUUAAUCAUCCUUUUACUCCACCCAUUCCUUCGAACAAGGUUGAACAAACUUCUUGUUUUACUAUCAUCCUUGGUAUUCUUCAAUUCUUUUUUAUUAUUACUCCUUGCUAUUCUUCAGUUACUCCACUCCAUUCAUACCUUUCUUGGAACCUACUCCGAGCCUCAAGAAAAAAACACAAAAUACGGACAGCAUUUGUUGGAAACUCAGAGAUUACUGUAUUAAACAAAUAGAACAGAUAGAUAAAAUCAAGUCAAAUAUGCUUGGGACACGGAGAUACUGCAAUACAUGUACAAACGUACAGAUACAUAUCUAUAUAUGCACAGUAACAUGGACAUUCACACAUGCAAAUACAUACAUACAUACACAGCUGUACCGCAGGGAACAGCUGCAAGCAUAUACAUUCUACAUCACGCGUUUGUGUGAUUAUAAUCAUACAUACAAACAUUUAUACAUGCACGCAGGCAAACAUACACACACACACACACACACAUAUAUAUAUAUACUUACAUACAUAAAUACAUACAUAUGCGUGUGUGUGUGUUUUACCAAUAAAAAUCGUCCGUCUCAUAAGACAGUAUUGUCGAAGACAUGACUUGUUUUGUUAUAUAUACGAGAAAGCUGUUGUCAUAAUACAUCCGACGUUUUCAUGAAAUGUCAUGCCUGACAUGAAUACAAUAUGCUAUGUGAAUUAUGAUGUUGAAAUGACGCUAAUACAAUGACAUUGUUAGGAUGUUAAUGUAGAUUAUGUUCAAUGUAAAAAUGUCCGUUUAUAACAGAUCCAAUGGAAAAAUUUUCGAAAAAAAAUGUUUUUGGGUUGAGGAUGAGAAUCAUGAAACAAAGAGAUAAUUCGAUAAAAAUCCGAAAAUGUGCUCAGCAUAACAUGUAUAAAUAAAAUAAAAUUUGCCGAGCCA
This is a long non-coding RNA of Macrobrachium nipponense, 2859 nucleotides long. RefSeq lists it as uncharacterized. The record is from RefSeq and is a predicted model, not a curated record. Lineage: Eukaryota; Metazoa; Arthropoda; Malacostraca; Decapoda; Palaemonidae. The transcript is spliced from 2 exons.